CCAGGCGCUCCCGCUCAACACUCCUUUCUUUUGCCGCUCCAAGAAGGCAAUAACUUCACUUUUCUCUCUCUUCCCAAAAACCCUAAAAACUCAGAAGAGAGAAAGGUAAGCCAGAGAUUUUGCAGGUGAACCUGGAAGAGAUCUUUUGACGGGAGAGUUUAAAAAAUUUAGCGGGAUUACCAAAGCUUUUAUCUGCUGAUUUCAACGGCUACUUGUUCCAGAACAGAACACUGCUUCAGGCGAGUUACUGUUGCAUUUGAAUCAGAUUGUUGUUGACUAUUAGGUGAGCUUAUACUUCCAAGUGUGAGUUGGGAUUGAUUGGGGUUAGUCAAUUGAAAUAAGUAUGGGGAGUUCAGAGGUUUUGAAUGGGUCAGGGGUUCAGAGUGCUGGAAUUACUUCACCUGGUGAUGGGUUUAUGCAUUCAAAUAUUAGCUUUAAGGAGGUUCGGAGUGCUGGAUUUACUUCACCUAGUGAUGGGUUAAUGCAGCCAAGUAUUAGCUUUGGGGAUGAGAAUCUUGGAACUCAUAUCUUGGAUGAUUUAGAUUCAUAUUUGGAAGACAUUAAUGACCGCCUCACGAUUUCAAGGAAGGUGAGUGAUUCUGUCAUCAAGGAAGUGGUGAAUGCUGUCAUUAAAGAGGCUGCUGAAAAAUUAGCUUUGAAAGAAUUGGAGGUGCAGACAUUGAAUAAAAGGUUGCAAAUUUAUGAGGCUGAUGCAGAUAAAGUCAAGGAAUUAAGGUUCUUAACUGUUGGAAUGGAUAAUGACGGUUCACAGUUUAGGCUGCAGUCAAGCUUUCUUGGCACUCAUUCAGAGCAGGGUAGAAUUGAUGUUUGUUUUGGAAAUUUAAGUGGGGAUGCAGAAGAGCAGUUUCAGAGGCUCCAAAAAGACAUAAACAACCUUAAGGAGUUUAAAAUGGCUGAUAGAACGAUAUUUGGUGUUGAUUCACACACAGUAGGUGAUCAUUUUCAAGGAAAGGUUGAUGACAAAUGGGAGGAAGUGGAUAAAACCCUAAAUAUGUUGAGAGUUACUGUAAAUGCUGUCUUUCACCAGGUUAACGAUAUGGUUUACUUGUCUAAGACAUCAAUUAGUGAGUGGCAGCAAGAGCGGGAGUUUCAGGAAGAAAUUGAGGCCAUGGUGAUUCAGAAUUCUAUCAAGAGCUUACAACAAGAAUUGAAAAUUGAAGUUUGUAGUGGUGAAAAAAUUAACCAAUUGGUCAAUGAGAUUUCAAGUCUGCGCCAAGAGCUGGAUUUCAUUUCAAAGUCUUUAUCCAGUUCUGAGUUAGGCCAUCUACCAUGUCAUGGAUCUCAUGAAAGUGGUGAAGAAUGUAAUGCUGUAUUGAAAGAUAAUAUCAAUCAAAAGGCUAGCAGUCACAUAUCACUUCCCUCUUCCCUUGAGGAAAAUGGAAAACUGGAACCUAAGAUCUCUUCACUAGAUAGAAUGGACUCUGCUGAGCUGAAGCACAAGUCAAGUGAUGAAUUAAUCAUCUUUUUCAAAGCAGAAAUGGCCAAAAUGAAUAGAAACCAUGAGUCUAUUUUGCAAGAGAAGAUUGAGGAAUAUUUCGCCCUUAAGAGGGAAUCUCUAAAAGAAAGAGGUCCGCAAUCUUUGAGGAGGGAUAAGGAUUUUGACUCAUUGAAGAAGAAGAUCCCUGAGGUCAUGUCAAAGUUGGAUGGUAUCCUGAAGGAGAAAAAGGAAUUGCCUGUGAGUUAUGAAGAUUGCAUGAAUAUCCGCAUCUUAAAGGAUAGACUUGAUGCUUUGCAUUCUGAGAACCGUCUGCUAAAAAAUUUCCUUGCAAAUGAGAGAGAAGAAGUCAAACACCUAUCAUCACAGUUAUCCAAUGCGACAGAUAAAACGUCCCACCAUUCUAUGACGGAGGUAGGCUUGUUGGAAGAAAUAAGGAAGCUUAACUGUGUUAUGGAAGAUUUAAAAUGGGAUGUUUCAGUUAGGGAAGAGAUAAACAUCUGUCUCCUUAGGGAUGUAGUUAGAAACUUCAAGUGUGAUAUCGAAGAUUCAGAAACGAAGUUUAAACUCAUGCAAGAUAUUUGUAGGAUUAUUCUCAGGGGAGCUGUUAAGGAAGCUGAGGCAAUAAUGGAAUGUGGUGUCACAGAUUCAGAUAUGGAAUAUAUUAUCAUGCAAGAAGUUUGUGGAAUAAUUCACAGAGAAGCUUUUAAGAAUGCCCAGGCUGCAAUCAAUCUCAUUGUGGCUGAAUAUGAAAAGGAAAAUGAACAGAUUGAAGAAACACUUUUAGAAACUAAGAAAUCCCUAAGGUUAGAGACUGAGGAGAAGGAGCAAUUGAAGCGAGAGCAGUUCUCAUUAUUAAUAUUAAUGGCAGAGAAGGAAAAGGAGUCAGAUUCAAUAAAGAGUAUACUUGACUUGACUUUAAAACUUAUAGGUCAAUAUGAGGGAGACAUUAGCAAACUAGAUCAGAAACUUAAGCUAGAAAUGGAGAAGUUAAGUGUAGCUGAUGGAGAAAGAAGAGAUCUUCAGGCUGUUAUUCAAGAGAAGCAAGCCACCAUAUCAUUACUCAAAUCAAAAGAAAGGGAACAUGGGAAGGAAAUGGAAUGCAUUAUGAUUUCUAUUGAAGCAUUAUCAAAAGCGGUUGCGGAUUUUAAGUGCCGACUAACAAAGAAUGUUGAGCAGAAUUCUUUGAGGUUGGAAAAAUUGACUUCACAAUGCCAUCCAUUAGUCCAAAGGGCUACAGAAAUUAAAAGAACGGGGCUGGCUUACAAACAGAGACUUGAAAGAAGAUGUUCUGACCUCCAAAAGGCUGAGUCAGAGGUUGACCUAUUAGGGGAUGAGGUGGAUGCUCUUCUAAACCUUCUCGAAAAGAUAUACAUAGCUCUUGAUCAUUAUUCGCCAAUAUUGCAACAUUAUCCCGGGAUUAUGGAGAUCCUGAAAUUGGUUAGAAGAGAAUUAAGUGGAGAAACUGUUAAAUUAUCUUAAUCAGAUCUUCAAUAAGGAGAUGUUUGCUAGCGGGGUCAUCAAAUAAUUUAUCAUGUGGCCAGGGGAUGAUUUAAAUAAAUGGUAGGCCAUUCAGUUGAUCUGGUGCCCAAAACAUGGCAUGUCACCAGUCCAGCGCUUAGAUCAGCCAGUUCAGCACUAAACAUGGCAUAAGUAGUUGGCUUCUGCCUGUCAAUGCCAGCUUGCUUUGAGUCUUUGACAGGUCCAUAUUAGUGUUGUAUAUGUCAAAAGUGAUGAUCUGGGAAAUGUUUGCAACAAUGAAAUGAACAGGAUACCAUCAUUCUCUUUUUGAGGUGACAGUCUUCUGCAGUAUGAUGCUGAUGGGUCUCACCUCUCGCUCCAAGUUUUGGAAGCUUUUCCACUAGUUGUGUAGUUUUGAAUGCAGAAAAUGAGAUGGAAAAAGUAGUGAAGAUUUGGCGGUUACUAUAACUCAGCUGGCAGUCUUGCCUAAGAUACGAACUGGAUGGAGUUAUUUCAGUCCCAAAUAGUAAUGUAUUUUUUUUGGAAUGUUUGUAAUAUAUUCUAUUUGUCAAGCGAAGGAAAUUGGUUUUGAUGGAAGCUUUGGUUUUCUUGGAAGUCCCUUGUAUCUUGGCCAAAAUGUAUAUUUGUUAAUUGCAGUAUUAGUAAUGAGGGGAAUUAAAUUAUCAUUUUGUGA
Molecule: RNA transcript, 3611 nt
Organism: Macadamia integrifolia
Lineage: Eukaryota; Viridiplantae; Streptophyta; Magnoliopsida; Proteales; Proteaceae
Gene name: WPP domain-associated protein
Exons: 7
Source: RefSeq, a predicted model, not a curated record